RNAcentral lists this ribosomal RNA (253 nucleotides) under uncultured bacterium. RNAcentral's name for it is "partial 16S ribosomal RNA". It matches the Rfam family "Bacterial small subunit ribosomal RNA", at positions 524 to 776 of the family's 1533-position model. The record is from RNAcentral.
UACGGGGGGUGCGAGCGUUGUCCGGAAUCACUGGGCGUAAAGGGCGCGUAGGUGGCUCUGUAAGUUUGCGGUGAAAGCCCGGGGCUCAACCCCGGGUCUGCCGUGGAUACUGCAAGGCUUGAGUACUGUAGAGGCAGGUAGAAUAGCGGGUGUAGCGGUGGAAUGCGUAGAGAGGCGAGAGAAGACCGGUGGCGAAGGCGGCCUGCUGGGCAGUAACUGACACUGAGGCGCGACAGCGUGGGAAGCAAACAGG